Molecule: ribosomal RNA, 494 nt
Filed under: uncultured bacterium
Lineage: Bacteria
Description: partial 16S ribosomal RNA
Rfam family: Bacterial small subunit ribosomal RNA
Source: RNAcentral
GACGAACGCUGGCGGCGUGCUUAACACAUGCAAGUCGAACGGUGAAGCGCCUUCCUUUUUGGUUGGUGUGGAUGAGUGGCGAACGGGUGAGUAACACGUGAGUAACCUGCCCCCUUCUUCUGGAUAACCGCAUGAAAGUGUGGCUAAUACGGGAUAUUCUGGGUCUGUCGCAUGAUGGGUCUGGGAAAGAUAUUGUUUCGGUGGGGGAUGGGCUCGCGGCCUAUCAGCUUGUUGGUGGGGUGAUGGCCUACCAAGGCGGUGACGGGUAGCCGGCCUGAGAGGGUGGACGGCCACACUGGGACUGAGACACGGCCGAGACUCCUACGGGAGGCAGCAGUGGGGAAUAUUGCACAAUGGGCGAAAGCCUGAUGCAGCGACGCCGCGUGAGGGAUGGAGGCCUUCGGGUUGUGAACCUCUUUCGCCAGUGAAGCAGGCCUGCCUCGUUUGUGGGUGGGUUGACGGUAGCUGGAUAAGAAGCGCCGGCUAACUACGUG